AUUGAACGCUGGCGGCAGGCUUAACACAUGCAAGUCGAACGGUAGCAGGGAAGUGCUUGCACUUUUGCUGACGAGUGGCGGACGGGUGAGUAAUGCUUGGGAAUCUGGCUUAUGGAGGGGGAUAACUGUGGGAAACUGCAGCUAAUACCGCGUAUAAUCGGGAGAUGAAAGACUGGGAGCGAAAGUCCAGUUGCCAUAAGAUGAGCCCAAGUGGGAUUAGGUAGUUGGUGGGGUAAAGGCCUACCAAGCCGUCGAUCUCUAGCUGGUCUGAGAGGAUGGCCAGCCACACUGGGACUGAGACACGGCCCAGACUCCUACGGGAGGCAGCAGUGGGGAAUAUUGCGCAAUGGGGGGAACCCUGACGCAGCCAUGCCGCGUGAAUGAAGAAGGCCUUCGGGUUGUAAAGUUCUUUCGGUGGUGAGGAAGGCGAUUAGUUUAAUAGGCUAAUUGAUUGACGUUAACCACAGAAGAAGCACCGGCUAACUCCGU
RNAcentral lists this ribosomal RNA (489 nucleotides) under Pasteurella sp. 09. RNAcentral's name for it is "bacterial SSU rRNA". It matches the Rfam family "Bacterial small subunit ribosomal RNA", at positions 30 to 506 of the family's 1533-position model. Lineage: Bacteria; Pseudomonadati; Pseudomonadota; Gammaproteobacteria; Pasteurellales; Pasteurellaceae. The record is from RNAcentral.